CGAAGGGUGCAAGCGUUACUCGGAAUUACUGGGCGUAAAGCGUGCGUAGGUGGUUUGUUAAGUCUGAUGUGAAAGCCCUGGGCUCAACCUGGGAAUUGCAUUGGAUACUGGCAGGCUAGAGUGCGGUAGAGGAUGGCGGAAUUCCCGGUGUAGCAGUGAAAUGCGUAGAGAUCGGGAGGAACAUCUGUGGCGAAGGCGGCCAUCUGGACCAGCACUGACACUGAGGCACGAAAGCGUGGGGAGCAAACAGGAUUAGAUACCCUGGUAGUCCACGCCCUAAACGAUGCGAACUGGAUGUUGGGAGCAACUAGGCUCUCAGUAUCGAAGCUAACGCGUUAAGUUCGCCGCCUGGGGAGUACGGUCGCAAGACUG
Molecule: ribosomal RNA, 372 nt
Filed under: uncultured organism
Description: bacterial SSU rRNA
Rfam family: Bacterial small subunit ribosomal RNA
Source: RNAcentral